RNAcentral lists this long non-coding RNA (407 nucleotides) under Capsella rubella. RNAcentral describes it as "long non-coding RNA (CRUB_LNC001548)". The record is from RNAcentral. Lineage: Eukaryota; Viridiplantae; Streptophyta; Magnoliopsida; Brassicales; Brassicaceae.
AGGUCGCUUGGUGCUUGAUACUUGGUGUCGCGCGAUUAGCUAAAUUCCUACGAAGGUGUUGAAAUUUUCUUGCAAGAAUUAAGUCCUUGACAGGAUCAUUGGUACGUUUGGUAUGAUCGAUACGUCCGCCAAUCCAUGAGCUGCUUGUUUGGUGGUUGGGGCUGGAUCGAUCUCCUCAUCAGGAAGUAUAUCCUACUAAAAAAAAUAUCUAUCCACUUGGCAGUCUCGAAAAUUCGUGGCUAUAAGAUGAUUUUUUAUAAAAAGUCACGAAUUAUUUGAGUUACGACGCUAUAGUCACAAAGAUUAAGGCACAUUCACGAAUAUUAAGGCUCUAGCUAGAGUCUUAUGUAUAUAUAGGGAUAAAUAAGACUAUCGGAUCUUCACUAUUAGGUUCGGUCAAAAACGUC